Molecule: small RNA, 822 nt
Filed under: uncultured Lewia
Lineage: Eukaryota; Fungi; Ascomycota; Dothideomycetes; Pleosporales; Pleosporaceae
Description: eukaryotic LSU rRNA
Rfam family: Eukaryotic large subunit ribosomal RNA (bases 559-822)
Source: RNAcentral
AAGUCGUAACAAGGUCUCCGUAGGUGAACCUGCGGAGGGAUCAUUACACAAUAACAAGGCGGGCUGGACACCCCCCGCUGGGCACUGCUUCACGGCGUGCGCGGCGGGGCCGGCCCUGCUGAAUUAUUCACCCGUGUCUUUUGCGUACUUCUUGUUUCCUGGGUGGGCUCGCCCGCCCUCAGGACCAACCACAAACCUUUUGCAAUAGCAAUCAGCGUCAGUAACAACGUAAUUAAUUACAACUUUCAACAACGGAUCUCUUGGUUCUGGCAUCGAUGAAGAACGCAGCGAAAUGCGAUACGUAGUGUGAAUUGCAGAAUUCAGUGAAUCAUCGAAUCUUUGAACGCACAUUGCGCCCUUUGGUAUUCCAAAGGGCAUGCCUGUUCGAGCGUCAUUUGUACCCUCAAGCUUUGCUUGGUGUUGGGCGUCUUUUGUCUCCAGUUCGCUGGAGACUCGCCUUAAAGUCAUUGGCAGCCGGCCUACUGGUUUCGGAGCGCAGCACAAGUCGCGCUCUUCGCCAGUCAAGGUCAGCGUCCAGCAAGCCUUUUUUUCAACCUUUGACCUCGGAUCAGGUAGGGAUACCCGCUGAACUUAAGCAUAUCAAUAAGCGGAGGCACAAGAAACCAACCGGGAUUGCCCUAGUAACGGCGAGUGAAGCGGCAACAGCUCAAAUUUGAAAUCUGGCUCUUUUAGAGUCCGAGUUGUAAUUUGCAGAGGGCGCUUUGGCUUUGGCAGCGGUCCAAGUUCCUUGGAACAGGACGUCACAGAGGGUGAGAAUCCCGUACGUGGUCGCUGGCUAUUGCCGUGUAAAGCCCCUUCGAC